CUUAGCUUUCAAGAUAUUAAGGAUGCCACCGGCAUAGAGGACAAAGAACUGAGACGAACUUUGCAGUCUCUUGCAUGUGGGAAAGUUCGGGUCUUGCAAAAGAUACCUAAAGGGAGGGAUGUGGAGGAUGAUGANNAUUUGUUUUCAAUGAGGGAUUUACUGCUCCUCUAUAUCGUAUAAAGGUCAAUGCAAUCCAGAUGAAGGA
RNAcentral lists this unclassified non-coding RNA (205 nucleotides) under Hevea brasiliensis (rubber tree). The record is from RNAcentral. Lineage: Eukaryota; Viridiplantae; Streptophyta; Magnoliopsida; Malpighiales; Euphorbiaceae.